GUAAUGUCUGGGGAUCUGCCCGAUAGAGGGGGAUAACCACUGGAAACGGUGGCUAAUACCGCAUAACGUCGCAAGACCAAAGAGGGGGACCUUCGGGCCUCUCACUAUCGGAUGAACCCAGAUGGGAUUAGCUAGUAGGCGGGGUAAUGGCCCACCUAGGCGACGAUCCCUAGCUGGUCUGAGAGGAUGACCAGCCACACUGGAACUGAGACACGGUCCAGACUCCUACGGGAGGCAGCAGUGGGGAAUAUUGCACAAUGGGCGCAAGCCUGAUGCAGCCAUGCCGCGUGUAUGAAGAAGGCCUUCGGGUUGUAAAGUACUUUCAGCGGGGAGGAAGGCGAUGUGGUUAAUAACCGCGUCGAUUGACGUUACCCGCAGAAGAAGCACCGGCUAACUCCGUGCCAGCAGCCGCGGUAAUACGGAGGGUGCAAGCGUUAAUCGGAAUUACUGGGCGUAAAGCGCACGCAGGCGGUCUGUUAAGUCAGAUGUGAAAUCCCCGGGCUUAACCUGGGAACUGCAUUUGAAACUGGCAGGCUUGAGUCUCGUAGAGGGGGGUAGAAUUCCAGGUGUAGCGGUGAAAUGCG
RNAcentral lists this ribosomal RNA (584 nucleotides) under Pantoea sp. RNAcentral describes it as "bacterial SSU rRNA". It matches the Rfam family "Bacterial small subunit ribosomal RNA", at positions 110 to 690 of the family's 1533-position model. Lineage: Bacteria; Pseudomonadati; Pseudomonadota; Gammaproteobacteria; Enterobacterales; Erwiniaceae. The record is from RNAcentral.